Molecule: ribosomal RNA, 972 nt
Filed under: Triticum aestivum (bread wheat)
Lineage: Eukaryota; Viridiplantae; Streptophyta; Magnoliopsida; Poales; Poaceae
Description: partial small subunit ribosomal RNA
Source: RNAcentral
AUGCCCCCCGCCAUGGAGAAGUACGGCGGGGACUGGGACGGCUCCAACGUCCACGAGGAUCACGUCGAAUUCCUUCGCAAGACGCGGCGGCUGCCCGGCGCGGGCAAGGUGGAGGUCCGUCUCGCGCCGGCGAAGGAGAUUACGCCGGCGCCGCGGGAAGGCGAGCGGGUAGUUUUCCGCUCGCAUUUCUUGCGCGGCAUUGGCCUGCCCGUGAGCGCUUUCUUCCGCUUUUGGCUCGAGUUCUACCAACUCCAGCCGCACCACCUCACCCCGAACGCGGUGGUGCUGCUGUCUGCCUUCGUCACCUUGUGCGAAGGCUACCUCGGCGUCCACCCUACCCUCGAGCUCUGGGGGGAGUUCUUCCAGUCCAAGAUGAGCACGCGCACGCAAGGCGUGCCGGCUCAGAGUGGCGCCUUCAUCGCGAUGCGGAGGGUGGCUGCCGACAACCCCUUCCCCAUCAUCACGCUGAUCCAGUCGGUGAAGCUAUGGCAAAAGUCAUACUUCUACGUGAAGAACGUCGCCCCGCAGGGCGACUACGUCAAUCUGCCGGCUUACGUAGCCGGCCCACCGGCGGGCAGGCGGCCCCAGUGGUCCUACCGGGCUGUGACGCUGACGCCGGCUGGAACCGCAGCCGUCGCCCGAGUGCGAGCGAUGACCCAGUCGGAGGGUUUGUCGGGGUCCGACCUGCUGGCCCCCUUCGUCACGCGCCGGGUACUCCCGCUCCAGAGCCGCCCUCAUCUGAUCUGUCAGAUGAGCGGCCAGCUCGAUCCAAGCCGGAUGUGUACCAAGGACAUGCCGCACGACGAGGUGGCCUUUAUGGUGAACUACCUCGCGAACUGCAAACUCUCCGCAGAGUGGCAGUUCGGCAAGGAGCCAUAUAGCCGAGCCAAUCCGCCGCCCACGGUAUGUUCUCCUUGUCUCUUCUUCUUCUCUCAGUUUUGUCACCGAGUUCCUUUGGCCGACUCUGACUAG